This 2456-nucleotide long non-coding RNA is filed under the name Fragaria vesca (wild strawberry). Its description in RNAcentral is "long non-coding RNA (FVES_LNC000504)". The record is from RNAcentral. Lineage: Eukaryota; Viridiplantae; Streptophyta; Magnoliopsida; Rosales; Rosaceae.
UUUUGUACAAGCAAAAUCACUUCAUUCUUUGCAGUCAGUUUUGUGAGGAUCAACUUGACAAUUAACUAUUUUAGAUCAGUGAGGAGACUCGAUUUCAUUUCAUAGGUAGUGUAAUCCUAAAACUUGCUGAGCAUACUAAACUGGAAUUUGUUCACCAAUGCAUUAUGGUCCACCAAGUCCCAAGACUCCUUUCAUGGAGCCAUAGGAUAUACUUGAAGAUGCAUUUAAAUGGUUAAAUCGGUUCUCUUAAUAUUGUAGAGAUGCCAUGCACUAUUGAUAUUUGAUUCACAAUUACAGCUCUUUAGUGGUUCUAUUUUCACUACCAGGACAAGCACUUUAGCCGACGAAAAAUUUUCAUCGGCCUGUUAGCUUAAUUCGUCGGCUAAGAUUUCGUCGGGAAAAGGUCGUCUGUGAUGACUUUAGCCGACGAAAAAAAAAAUUUCGUCGGCUAUAGUCCUGCAGUUUAGCCGACGAAAAACAUGUCGUCGGUUUUUUUCCCAGACUUUAGCCGACGAAACAAUUAAGAUAUUCGUCGGCUAAAGUCUGUAAUAAAAAUUUUUUUCCCAGACUAUAGCCGACGAAAUAUAGUAUGUUUCGUCGGCUAAACCUUAUAAAAAAAUUUUAAAAAAUAACCAUAGCCGACGAAAUAUGGUCUGUUUCGUCGGCUAAACCUUAUAAAAAAUUUAAAAAAUAACUAUAGCCGACGAAAUAUAGUCUGUUUCGUCGGCUAAACCUUAUAAAAAAAUUUUAAAAAUAACUAUAGCCGACGAAAUAUGCCAUAAUUCGUCGGCUAAACCUUAUAAAAAAAUUUAAAAAUACUAUAGCCGACGAAUAAAUCUUUAAAUAUCGUCGGCCAAACCUUUAAAUAUCGUCGGCUAAAGUUGCUGGUUUUUGAAAAGAAAAACUGCAGAAACUUUCGGCCACCUCCAAUUACCACCAAAAUUUGAUAGAAUCUUCUUCUCAACAUUUCGAACAACUUUCUAGAAGAAGUCGAAUCCCAAUUCUAAGCCUAAACAGGUCAAUUGAAUCAAAAUAUAAAAAUCCCCAAUUUUAAACCCUAAAAACUUCAAAUCUUCGAUUCUCCUCACACAAACCGAAUCGAGCUACCAAAUUCUAGGGGAAUGUAGUACUAAUCAAACUCAACUUAUCCAUAUAUAGAACUCACCAAAUGGUGACCUGAGGAAGGAGAAAUUCGAUCGACACCGAAUCCGAACCGGCGGAGUUUUGGAGCUCGAUUUAUCUCUCACGGCGGCGCCACUAGAUGCACCACCUAUCCAGCAAUGAAGUAGAGACGACGGCGAAGCUUUUGGGACAAGUGUGGCGGUCUCCGGUGACUUGACGGCGGUGCUAGGCUGAGAAGAAAAUCUGGCAGGCGAAAUAGACUUCUUACCAUCCACCUUCGGUAAUAUAAAGAACUUUAGCCGACAAAAUUCUUUAUUUUCGUCGGCUAAACUCUUUUGAAAAUUUUGAAAAUUUUGGUUGACCGCCAAAAAAUUUUGGUUGAAAAUUUUGAAAAUUUUUCGACUUUAGCCGACGACUUUUCAUAUAUUUUCGUCAGCUAAAGUCCUUUGAAAAUUUUCCUCCAAAUUUGGUUUACCGCCCAAAAAUUUUUGACCUUAACCGACGACUUUUUUAAUAUCUCGUUGGCUAAAGUCUAUAAAUUCACGAAAACGCUCAUAUCUCCCUCUAUAUUACGUAGUUUGGUCAAAUCUUCCACACGAAAAACUUUCACGUAGAUGAGACGCAACCGCCUAUAUAAAAAUUUUGAGACAUUUGCCUUUCGACGAUAGGGCUCCCCAUAGGGAAUAAUAACGGUAAAUAGGGUAGACACGUGAUUCCGAUGACUAAAAUUUACAAACCAAAAUUCGACCGUCCGAUAUGAUCAUUAUGACGAAAGAUGUCUAUGGUAAAAAAUUCAACUGGAUUCGACAACGUUAAGGGCUCGAUCGAAACGGUCAACUCUAAUCGGAAAUAAGAAAACUGCAUUUUGAAGCCCUAAACGGACUCGGAUGGCCAAAAAGGCCCAUACAUCAUGGCAUUAGCCAUGAGUUUGACUCGUAGGGCCGUUACGCUUUCGGAAAGGUAUCACAAUAGUCAAUUGGACACCAAAAACCAAAUCUGCAGCAUAGUAAAUAAUAAGGGUAAAUUGCAUUGACCGCAACUAUCGGCACCAAGACUUUACCAGAAUACCGUGAUUUUUCAACUGUAGACGUAUUUCACCAUUCUGGUAAUAUCUUAUUUCACUACUUUUUUGCGUUUGAAGGUUCUACGUAUAGUUUUUUUUUCCCAGAUGAGUUGUUGUCCAGAUCUGCAAAUAUAAGGCACUUUAGCCGACGAAAUUAUAUUUUUCGUCGGCUAAACUUUUAAAAAUUUCGUCGGCUAAAGUUCACAGACUAUAGCCAACGAAAAAAAUUAUUCAGACGACGAAAUUUUAAUUUCGUCGGCUAAAGUUGACC